Molecule: ribosomal RNA, 324 nt
Filed under: uncultured eukaryote
Lineage: Eukaryota
Description: partial 18S ribosomal RNA
Rfam family: Eukaryotic small subunit ribosomal RNA
Source: RNAcentral
CCCUUAGAUGUUCUGGGCCGCACGCGCGCUACACUGAUGCAUUCAACGAGUUUCUUCCUGGUCCGAGAGGAAUGGGUAACCUUUUGAAAGUGCAUCGUGAUAGGGAUAGACUAUUGCAAUUAUUGGUCUUCAACGAGGAAUUCCUAGUAGACGUAGUUCAUCAGACUGCAUCGAUUACGUCCCUGCCCGUUGUACACACCGCCCGUCGCUCCUACCGAUUGAAUGCUCAGGUGAGCCAUUCGGACUUUCAUCAUGCUGGUUUCCAGUUUUGAUGAAGGAAAGUCUUGCGAACCUUAUCAUUUAGAGGAAGGAGAAGUCGUAACA